CCACAGUCACAUAUCCAUAAUUCCCUCCGUAUAAAUAUUCAUGUGCUGUGAAUAAGAUGUAAAAGACAUUGUGCUAUUUUUCAAUAUUUACUCUAGAAUUAGAUCCGCAUAGGUGCUUGUUCUAUGACAAAAGAUAAGAGCUUGCACUCUCAAAGAUUUCUUUUAAAUAGAUCAUAAAAUCCAUUGUGAAUAUUUAAGCCAAGAGUAAUAACAUGGUGUCAUAUACUCACAGUAUAAUGCAGCAACACUCUGCAUUUUGACAUCUGCCCAGACAGAUGUUUAGAACGAAGUUCCUCAGAUUCUUUCUUCUUUCUUUAUUUAUUUAUUUAAGUUGCAUGGAAAAAAUCUGGGAAUCAUCUUUUAUAUCGAAGCUACUUAGUACAAUUUAACUGUCAACAGUUUAAUUAAUUUAAAUGUAGAGUUACUGUGGAAGCCAACAACUCACAUAAGCCUUCCACACAAAAAAAAAAAAAAAUAGAGCAAAGCCUCCCAAAAUUUUGCCAGCAAGAUCCUGACCUCACAAAGGAUAUGGCUGUGAUCACAGGACACGCAGAGAUCAGCCCUCUAAAAUCACGCAAAUGACUGGUAUAACUUUCUGCUCACAGGCAAUCUCAGCGCUGGCCGUUAAUAGAUGUUUUGCCACUAUUUUCCUUCGGAAGGAUGACGCCGAUCGUUCGCCCCUUUUGCCCGUGUCUUCCCGGCGUGCAGGAUGGGAGCAGCCCCGGAUAGUGGUGCGGCGGCCAACCUUCAGCCCCAGCUCCCGCUGCCGUGCCCCAUCGCAAGGGGCAUUUCCCCAAGGCCACCGGCUCCUUUCUUAUUUAUAUUUUUAUUUUAUUUUUAUUUUUAUUUUAUUUUAUUUUUAUUUUAUUUUACUUCAUUUCAUUUUACUUCAUUUUAUUUUUCUUUUUCUACUUUUUUUACUUUAUUCCAUUUUACUUUAUUUUACUUCAUUUUAUUAUACUUCAUUUUACCUUAUUUUAUUUUCCCUUAUUUUACUUUCCUUCAUUUUCCUGUUUCAAUGUGAUUUCUCCAUGGGGCAGCCCUUCUCCCCGGCGCAUCGCCUGGGCGCUGCCCUCGGCGGGUGCUCAGAAGGCGAAGGGAAGGGGCAGCCCCCCCCGGGCCGGCAGCGGCCCCGCUAUUUGCAUGGCGUGUUUAUAACGUGGUGGAAACCAAGACUGAUAUUUGUGGUCGGGAGAAGAUGACUUUCACCUCUCCGGAUCACUCUCUCAAAUAAAAAAGAAUUGACCAGCUACGGGCGUAAGCA
This 1264-nucleotide long non-coding RNA is filed under the name Anas platyrhynchos platyrhynchos (common mallard). RNAcentral describes it as "lncRNA (ENSAPLG00000029765.1)". The record is from RNAcentral. Lineage: Eukaryota; Metazoa; Chordata; Aves; Anseriformes; Anatidae.